This is a long non-coding RNA of Eubalaena glacialis (North Atlantic right whale), 2919 nucleotides long. RefSeq lists it as uncharacterized. The record is from RefSeq and is a predicted model, not a curated record. Lineage: Eukaryota; Metazoa; Chordata; Mammalia; Artiodactyla; Balaenidae. The transcript is spliced from 5 exons.
CUUGGAUUAUACGUCAAACCACAAUACUAAUGUAAUAAUAAUAAUCAUGUCGAAUGCCCAGUGCUUCCCUGGAUGUGGGUGCCCAUCGCAGUCUGUCAGGCUCUUCCUGAACUAGUUUCAUCAUGGACCUUCCAGGGUCUGCAGACACCUCAUCUUUCAGCAGCGUGACGGCCACCCUCUACGCCUUGGAAACAGAUGAACAAGAUGUUAUGGAUUCUGUGUCGUGCAACCAGGAGAUGUUGGUGUAAAAGGACAGGAGACCAGGACGUGUACGUUUGAGGUCCUCACCCCCUUGCCUGCAUCCUGCUGUGGUUGGCAGAGCUGAGACCCCAGCGUCUGGGACUGUUUGUGUGGUGGCCUGAGAGGAACAAACCAGGGCCCCUUCUGCAGGUGCGCAGACUCUGUAGGACGUCCGCUCGGAUAAGAAACAUCCUGACACCCUUCCCGGGAGAACCAUAGGGUGACAAGGAGGCUCCCGGGGACCGUGGACCAGCACGAGGAAGAGAGCUGCCAGAGGGUCAGAGAUUCCUGACCCCCUUCAUCGCAGUUGCAGGAGAGGUGAUGAUUACGGUGUGAACCCACAAGACGAUUUGUGGGUCCUGGUGGCCCGUGGCUCAGAUCACUGUGUGAAGAUGGGGGCAUGUGGUCCCAGUGGAAGACCCUGCUUAUUCAAACAGCUCACUAUUAUGUCGUGUAUAAGAGUGUCCUGGGCGGCUGUAACACAGGACCACAAACUGGGAGUCUGAAAAGAGCAGAAAUUCAUCCAGCCCCCGGUCCUGGAGACCAGACGUCUGAGGUCAAGGUGUCCCAGGGCUGUGCUCCCUCCAGAGGCCCCAAGGGAGGGUCCUUCCUGCCUCUUCCAGCUUCUGGGGGCUUCAGGGGUCCCUGGGCUUGUGGCCGCCACCCUCAUCCAAGAGGACCUCAUCUCAGACCCUUCACUUCCAUCCGGAUAAUCAAGAAUGAUCUCUUCAUCUCAAGAUCCUUCAUUAGUUACAUCUGCCAAGACCCUUUUGCCAACAAAGUCAUAUCCACAGGUAACAGGGUUUAGGAAGUGGUCAUAUCUUUUUGGUAGAAAGUAUUCAAUCCACUGCAUGGUACAUGAACUGGAUACUUGGAAACUCAGGAAACAUCCAUUCCUUUUCUGGUGACCUGGAAAACCAUGGAGGUCACGGCUUCUUCUAUAUGUACCCAAGGCCGCUUUCCUGGGCGAGUGACCCAUGUAGCUUACAUGGGACCCUGGGCUCAUAAGGACGCCUAUUGGCUUAAUGCCCUAUGACCGCCAUCUUGAAAUUCUUAAUGAAGCGUGAACAAGGACCCACAUUUUCAUUUUGCCCUGGAACUGCCAAUGCGAUAGCCCUCUUUGCUCACAUUCCUUCCAACCUCAAGAAAGAGGAGCAAGUCUGCAGCCAAUAAGGACACCCCCACCCCCAGCACACCCUCCAUCCAGCCACUGAUGUGCUCAAGCCAUGGGUGGUGAAGACCUCUCCCCAAGAUCCAGUAAGGCUAGUGGGUUUUGGCUGCACAUUGGGGGAGCCUCUGAAAACCACUAAUGCUCAGCUCCACCAUCAACAGAAUCCCCAAGUUCGUUCCUCUGGGUACCAGCAUUUAUUAGACCUCCUCAAGCCAUCCUCUUGUUCAGGCAAGUUUGAGACCCUCUGGGCCAGGCAAAUGCAGACUGAAGCUUCCAGCCCUGGGCGCCAGCCCCCCCCAAAACUGCUCAGAUGUUCUGCUAAGCCCUACAGCCCCGACUGAUGUGUUUCAGAACUAGAAUUACUUUGUAUGUUAAAACCAAGAUGGAGACAUGCCUUGUCUAAUACUUCCGGACAGCUAGGAUGAUGUACUUCAAAGCAGGAUCUUGACUUCCAGGAAGAUCCCAACCUUUGAGCAUUUGCACAUCACUGGAGAGUCCUUUACGGCUUGAGGUCAUAGUACACAAGUGCCAGCUACUCCUAGCGGCAUCACAAAGUUGGUUCCCAAGUACAGCCUCAGGAUGAGGAGGCAGGGUGAGUCCUGGCCAAUCCGACAUCCUCUGUCACUUUGAGAACAAGCUUGCUGGCCCCUGAAAGAUGCUGCAGUCCCUGGGCGAAGAUAGGCUCUGAGAGCAAUUUGGACCGUGUAGGACCCUGGCCUCACAUGGCCCCUCCUCAUUGCAUGACCGCCCUUAUGUCACUCGUCCACCAGGGGAGAGAGAGGACACAGUUCUGGAGAAGUUACCAUGUUCCCUCGACACCUGAUUGUGGAACAUACCUCAGAGCUCAGAGACACUUCCCAGCAGCUGGAGAAGUCUCGUGGACCACUGGGAUUCCACAUAGAAGCAAUAUCAUAUGGUAUUUGUCUUUGUCUGGCUUACUUCACCUAGUCUGAUCAUCUCUAGGUCCAUCCAUGUUGCUGCAAAUGGCAUUAUUUCAUUCUUUUUAUGGCUGAGUAAUAUUCCAUUGUAUAUAUGUACCACAUCUAAAAAGAAGGUGAAUUCUGCCCACAAGAACGAAGUUGGAAGAGAAGCUCGACCUUCCAGUGAAAAUACAGACCUUAACAACUAGUUAAAAUAUCAAGUAUGAUCUACUCCACUCAAGGGGAUUUCAACCCAAUAGCCGAAACUCAGUCCCUCAACUUUAUGGAAGACCCUAUUGAAUACGCAGAAAAUGGAAGUGGGAUGGUCCAAAUCCACAGAGACGAACUCCCGUGCCAUCUGCAGAAUCGUUGACUCAGUCCCUGGACUGAGCAUCUCCCUAAGAGACCGCAAACUCCGGCAAAGAAGGACUCAAGUGUCUUCGGCUCACCUUCCAAAGGGGAGCAGUAUCUCUACCUGCUGCCCUGUCUGGCUCGAUCCGUGAGAAGCAGCUGAAGGAGGGUUGCCAACAUCCCGGCAUGCGGAACACGGUGCAGGGAUUCGGAUGCACCGUGGCUUACGUUCCGGGG